ACAAGCAGCGGAGCGUGUGGUUUAAUUCGAUGCUACACGAAGAACCUUACCAGGUUUGACAUGCAAGUGUAGGAAACUGAAAAGGACGACCCUUCGGGGAGCUUGCACAGGUGGCUGCAUGGCUGUCGUCAGCUCGUGUCGUGAGAUGUUCGGUUAAGUCCGCUAACGAGCGCAACCCUCACUGUGUGUUAUAUGUGUCACACGGGACUGCCGGUUUUAAGCCGGAGGAGGGUGGGGAUGACGUCAAGUCAGCAUGGCCUUUAUAUCCUGGGCUACACACACGCUACAAUGGUCGGUACAAUAGGUUGCCAAGCCGCGAGGCGGAGCCAAUCCAAAAAAAGCCGGCCUCAGUUCAGAUUGUAGGCUGCAACUCGCCUGCAUGAAGAUGGAGUUGCUAGUAACCGCAGGUCAGCAAUACUGCCGGUGAAUACGUUCCCGGGUCUU
Molecule: ribosomal RNA, 444 nt
Filed under: uncultured Anaerolineaceae bacterium
Lineage: Bacteria; Bacillati; Chloroflexota; Anaerolineae; Anaerolineales; Anaerolineaceae
Description: bacterial SSU rRNA
Rfam family: Bacterial small subunit ribosomal RNA
Source: RNAcentral